AUUGAACGCUGGCGGAAGGCCUAACACAUGCAAGUCGAACGAGUGGCGGACGGGGGAGUAAUGUCUGGGACACUGCCUGAUGGAGGGGGAUAACUACUGGAAACGGUAGCUAAUACCGCAUACCAUCAGAUGUGCCCAGAUGGGGUUAGCUAGUUGGUGGGGUAACGGCUCACCAAGGCGACUAUCCCUAGCUGGUCUGAGAGGAUGACCAGCCACACUGGAACUGAGACACGGUCCAGACGAAUAUGGGAGGCAUGAAAGGGGAAUAUUGCACAGUGGAAUCAAGCCUGAUGCAGACAUGCCGCGUGUAUGGAGAAGUCAUUCGGGUUGGAAAGUACUAUCAGCGGUGAAGAGUUACCCGCAGAAGAAGCACCGGCUAACUCCGUGCCAGCAGCCGCGGUAAUUC
RNAcentral lists this ribosomal RNA (406 nucleotides) under uncultured bacterium. Its description in RNAcentral is "partial 16S ribosomal RNA". It matches the Rfam family "Bacterial small subunit ribosomal RNA", at positions 30 to 526 of the family's 1533-position model. The record is from RNAcentral.